AUCCGUGCAGCUCAGUUGGUAGAGCGCCCGCCCAUUAUGCGAGUUUACGCAGGUUCGAUUCCCACGGUUG
RNAcentral lists this transfer RNA (70 nucleotides) under Perkinsus marinus ATCC 50983. RNAcentral's name for it is "tRNA-Asn". Lineage: Eukaryota; Perkinsozoa; Perkinsida; Perkinsidae. The record is from RNAcentral.